This 349-nucleotide ribosomal RNA is filed under the name uncultured Mycobacterium sp. Its description in RNAcentral is "bacterial SSU rRNA". It matches the Rfam family "Bacterial small subunit ribosomal RNA", at positions 8 to 359 of the family's 1533-position model. The record is from RNAcentral. Lineage: Bacteria; Bacillati; Actinomycetota; Actinomycetes; Mycobacteriales; Mycobacteriaceae.
AGAGUUUGAUCCUGGCUCAGGACGAACGCUGGCGGCGUGCUUAACACAUGCAAGUCGAACGGAAAGGCCUCUUCGGAGGUACUCGAGUGGCGAACGGGUGAGUAACACGUGGGCAAUCUGCCCUGCACUUCGGGAUAAGCCUGGGAAACUGGGUCUAAUACCGGAUAGGACCUCAAGACGCAUGUCUUCUGGUGGAAAGCUUUUGCGGUGUGGGAUGGGCCCGCGGCCUAUCAGCUUGUUGGUGGGGUGACGGCCUACCAAGGCGACGACGGGUGGCCGGCCUGAGAGGGUGUCCGGCCACACUGGGACUGAGAUACGGCCCAGACUCCUACGGGAGGCAGCAGAAGGG